CAGCCGCCGCGGUAAUACGUAGGUGGCAAGCGUUGUCCAGAAUUAUUGGGCGUAAAGCGCGCGCAGGUGGUUUAAUAAGUCUGAUGUGAAAGCCCACGGCUCAACCGUGGAGGGUCAUUGGAAACUGUUAAACUUGAGUGCAGAAGAGGAGAGUGGAAUUCCACGUGUAGCGGUGAAAUGCGUAGAGAUGUGGAGGAACACCAGUGGCGAAGGCGACUCUCUGGUCUGUAACUGACGCUGAGGAGCGAAAGCGUGGGGAGCGAACAGGAUUAGAUACCCCCGUAGUCCCUGUCUCUUAUAC
Molecule: ribosomal RNA, 301 nt
Filed under: uncultured bacterium
Lineage: Bacteria
Description: partial 16S ribosomal RNA
Rfam family: Bacterial small subunit ribosomal RNA
Source: RNAcentral